This 239-nucleotide ribosomal RNA is filed under the name Mycoplasmopsis agalactiae. RNAcentral describes it as "Mycoplasma agalactiae partial 16S ribosomal RNA". It matches the Rfam family "Bacterial small subunit ribosomal RNA", at positions 318 to 548 of the family's 1533-position model. The record is from RNAcentral. Lineage: Bacteria; Bacillati; Mycoplasmatota; Mycoplasmoidales; Metamycoplasmataceae.
ACUGAGAUACGGCCCAGACUCCUACGGGAGGCAGCAGUAGGGAAUAUUCCACAAUGGACGAAAGUCUGAUGGAGCGACACAGCGUGCAGGAUGAAGGCCCUAUGGGUUGUAAACUGCUGUGGUUAGGGAAGAAAAAGUAGCGUAGGAAAUGACGCUACCUUGACGGUACCUGAUUAGAAAGCAACGGCUAACUAUGUGCCAGCAGCCGCGGUAAUACAUAGGUUGCAAGCGUUAUCCGA